This 473-nucleotide ribosomal RNA is filed under the name uncultured bacterium. Its description in RNAcentral is "bacterial SSU rRNA". It matches the Rfam family "Bacterial small subunit ribosomal RNA", at positions 28 to 501 of the family's 1533-position model. The record is from RNAcentral.
GAUGAACGCUAGCGGCAGGCUUAACACAUGCAAGUCGAGGGGUAGAAGGAGCUUGCUCCUUUGAGACCGGCGCACGGGUGCGUAACGCGUAUGCAAUCUACCUUUUGCAGAGGAUAGCCCAGAGAAAUUUGGAUUAAUACCUCAUAGUAUGUGAGGAUGGCAUCAUUUUCACAUUAAAGUCACAACGGCAAAAGAUGAGCAUGCGUCCCAUUAGCUAGUUGGUAAGGUAACGGCUUACCAAGGCUACGAUGGGUAGGGGUCCUGAGAGGGAGAUCCCCCACACUGGUACUGAGACACGGACCAGACUCCUACGGGAGGCAGCAGUGAGGAAUAUUGGUCAAUGGGCGCAAGCCUGAACCAGCCAUGCCGCGUGCAGGAAGACGAUCCUAUGGAUUGUAAACUGCUUUUAUACAGGAAGAAACCCUCCCACGUGUGGGAGCUUGACGGUACUGUAGGAAUAAGGAUCGGCUAAC